UGCAGUCGAGCGAAUGAUGAGGAGCUUGCUCCUCUGAUUUAGCGGCGGACGGGUGAGUAACACGUGGGUAAUCUGCCUGUAAGACGGGGAUAACUCCGGGAAACCGGGGCUAAUACCGGAUAAUAAGAGAAGAAGCAUUUCUUCUUUUUGAAAGUCGGUUUCGGCUGACACUUACAGAUGAGCCCGCGGCGCAUUAGCUAGUUGGUGAGGUAACGGCUCACCAAGGCGACGAUGCGUAGCCGACCUGAGAGGGUGAUCGGCCACACUGGGACUGAGACACGGCCCAGACUCCUACGGGAGGCAGCAGUAGGGAAUCUUCGGCAAUGGGCGAAAGCCUGACCGAGCAACGCCGCGUGAGCGAUGAAGGCCUUCGGGUCGUAAAGCUCUGUUGUUAGAGAAGAACAAGUACGAGAGUAACUGCUCGUACCUUGACGGUACCUAACCAGAAAGCCACGGCUAACUACGUGCCAGCAGCCGCGGUAAUACGUAGGUGGCAAGCGUUAUCCGGAAUUAUUGGGCGUAAAGCGCGCGCAGGCGGUCUCUUAAGUCUGAUGUGAAAGCCCACGGCUCAACCGUGGAGGGUCAUUGGAAACUGGGAGACUUGAGUGCAGGAGAGAAAAGUGGAAUUCCACGUGUAGCGGUGAAAUGCGUAGAGAUGUGGAGGAACACCAGUGGCGAAGGCGGCUUUUUGGCCUGUAACUGACGCUGAGGCGCGAAAGCGUGGGGAGCAA
Molecule: ribosomal RNA, 731 nt
Filed under: Fictibacillus phosphorivorans
Lineage: Bacteria; Bacillati; Bacillota; Bacilli; Caryophanales; Fictibacillaceae
Description: bacterial SSU rRNA
Rfam family: Bacterial small subunit ribosomal RNA
Source: RNAcentral